CCUACGGGCGGCAGCAGUGAGGAAUAUUGGUCAAUGGGCGGAAGCCUGAACCAGCCAAGUCGCGUGAGGGAAUAAGGCCCUACGGGUCGUAAACCUCUUUUGCCGGGGAGCAAGGGCGGGGACGUGUCCCGGCCCGGAGAGUACCCGGAGAAAAAGCAUCGGCUAACCCCGUGCCAGAAGCCUCGGUAAUACGGGGGAUGCGAGCGUUAUCCGGAUUUAUUGGGUUUAAAGGGUGCGUAAGGGGGGCGUUAAGUCAGUGGUAAAAUUGAGGGGCUCAACCCAUUCCCGCAAUUGAAACUGGCGGCCUUGAGUGGAAGAGAGGUAUGCGGAAUGCGUGGUGUAGCGGUGAAAUGCAUAGAUAUCACGCAGAACCCCGAUUGCGAAGGCAGCAUGCCGGCUUCCGACUGACGCUGAAGCACGAAAGCGUGGGGAUCGAACAGGAUUAGAUACCCUUGUAGUC
This 460-nucleotide ribosomal RNA is filed under the name uncultured bacterium. RNAcentral's name for it is "partial 16S ribosomal RNA". It matches the Rfam family "Bacterial small subunit ribosomal RNA", at positions 338 to 795 of the family's 1533-position model. The record is from RNAcentral.